CCCAGGUGAAAAGAGCUAGAGGAGAGGAAGCACUGCUGAACCUUGAGACAUGUUAGGGGAAGUUGAUGAACAGGUUUUUCCCAACAAAGAAAAGGAACCAACGCUCCAUAUCAGGUGUGGACAAAGACAGUGGACUGUCUUUUGAAUUGGAGAUUUCAGGAAGAAUAUUUGCAUUGUAAAAAUCUCAAACUUCCAUCUUCACAAGACAGCACAGUGUCUACACCCAGUAGGGGAAAGAAACUUCAUCUGGAGAUACACUUCAAAAAAUACCUUUCAAAGGUUUCCUGGACUAUAAAAAGAACAGAAGAGAACCCCUAUUUUAUCCUUCACUUGAUGAAACAAAGAAACCAAGCACUGAACUCUGUGUUUGGAUCCUGGCUAAGGACUAGCUCGCCAUGCUGGAAGAAUGAUCAUAGUUAGAAAACUUUGUCUCAAAAGAGUUGUUAAGCUGAGUUUCAGCCUUAGAAGUGUAUUUUCACUUUGGUUUGCUUGUAACCAUCUCUAUCCCUAUUACUUCUACUUGGUUUUACUUAAACUGGACACAGGUAUGUCCUUAUGUUAAUAAACAUGUUUUACUUUUACUAUAAA
Dermochelys coriacea (leatherback sea turtle) is the source of this 588-nucleotide long non-coding RNA. RefSeq lists it as uncharacterized. Lineage: Eukaryota; Metazoa; Chordata; Testudines; Dermochelyidae. The record is from RefSeq and is a predicted model, not a curated record. The transcript has 2 exons.